This 333-nucleotide unclassified non-coding RNA is filed under the name uncultured Ophiostomataceae. RNAcentral's name for it is "sequence contains ITS1". The stretch from base 1 to 105 matches the Rfam family "5.8S ribosomal RNA", at positions 50 to 154 of the family's 154-position model. Lineage: Eukaryota; Fungi; Ascomycota; Sordariomycetes; Ophiostomatales. The record is from RNAcentral.
GAAAUGCGAUAAGCAAUGCGAAUUGCAGAAUUCCGCGAGUCAUCAGAUCUUUGAACGCAGCCCGCGCUGGAGAGCUAUCUCUUCAGCAUGUUUGUUUCAGUGUGUUUGGUUGACAUCAAACAACUCAAUGCGAUUGAAGACCUGACUUUAAAGUCUUGGUUUUCUCUCGUGAAAGAGGAAAGCGUGGGACUCGCCCGCCAACGAUGUGGUCACUGUCUAACAGUGAAAUUCGUUGGGUUCAUCGAGCGUUUCCAAUUUCAAAUACGAUUAUUUAACAUUAAAAAACUCUUCAAUCUGCACCUGAAAUCAAGCAAGGUCACCCGCUGAACUUAA